UUCGCGCUCUUUGUUUGCUUCUGGCUUCUCUCUCUCUCGCUUUCUGAAUUGCCGUUUCAGUUUCUUUCUGAGCGUACGUGUAAAUGCUCUUUGUUUCAUUUUGCUUCUCUCUCUCUCACGCUCCGAUCAGUUUCUUCUCCGAAGAGGUUUUGCAUUUUCUCUGGUAAAGAUCAAAAUUCUCAUCCUCAACCUCUGUAUGUUACUUUAUUUACUUAUUUGGAUACCAUAGAAGAUUCUUUCUUCGAUCUUGUCCCGUUUCUUGGUUCUUUAGAAAUGUUCACGAAUUGAGUUUCUUGUGAUUUGAUGUUAUUCCGAAUUGUUCUGUUAUAGUGUUAUCUGAUGGGUUUCAUUGCGAUUUUGGCCAAUGAAGGCAUUUUGAUGUUGUUGUUGCGAUGGAUCCUAGUUUUUUUGUGAAUCAAACGCACUAAUUGUUACAGAUUUUUGUUUUUGUUUGCUUCGAUCAUCUGUAUUUGCGUUUCUUUAAAAUUUCUUUCGAUUUCGUUUAAGUAUUGGUAAUGCUGCUGUGUCUUUAUGCCUCAUGUAUGAUGUUGUUGCUCCCGCUUAAUGAUGUUGUGUUUCACAGUCUACGUUUGUAUAUCGAGUUUUACUGAUUCUGUGAAAGUUCGAGAAUUCAUCUUCAUCUGUUUCAGUUUCAGUCUUUAGUUUCUUAAUUCUAUAAGUUAUUUCCUCAAAUAAGUUUUGGUAAAACAUUUAAUGACAGUGGGUGAUGCAGGCUAGAUUUCGUAUCUAUCUCUGAGUACAAGUUAUGAUUUGGAUCAUUAUGGUAUGCAUCUCCUCUAAAAUUGAUUUUAUAACUUGUCUUAUCCUGCAGAUAUAAUCACACAAUGGCAGAUGAACGUGAUAAGAUGGAUAGGAACAUACUGAUAAACUCCAGCAUCUAUGGAGUAGUAUCUGUGAUUACUCUUCUGGCGGUUAUGGAUGGCAUCGCAGCAAGGCAAAGGCUGAUGGCAACAUACCUCUUUGCUUCCGCUGUCCUAACUUCUGGGAUCUCCACUUUCAUAGGGAGCAACAUAAGAAGGAGAUCAAUGAAGCGAUCUGCCAUUGACGCUGCAUUGGGCGGGCUCUGUUUUCUGUUAGGUGGAAUCAUUCCCUUUGCAAUUGGUAUCUCCAUUCCAAACAGGAUUGAACGAGACCUUGCUCUUUUUCUUCUAUCGGUUACCAUCAUUGCUUUGAUACUCUUGAUCGACUUCUCCAUGAAGAAGGACGACCAGCAACAACCACAGGCAAGGACUUACUGGAUUCUAGGAGCCUCCAUUGUCAUCUCCACUGCAGCUAUUGUGUUUUUUGCUGACCAGGCAAACCGAUUGCGGUCUGCAAACAAAAUGCCCUAGUACAGCUUUUCCUGCUGAAGGCCAAACCCAAUCAAGACUUGAAGUCCAUGUCCAAGCUCUGCAGGAUUUAGCAAAUGGAUGAUGUGUUCUACUGUUCUCUUGCUUCAUCACUGUUUUCUUUCAUUAGUCUUACAACUCUCUGAUUCGUUCUAGUUUAGAGAAUAUAUUGUGGGUAUAAUAUAGUGCUGUGUUUUGUAAAUCCAGAAGUUGAGCUUUGUUUUCUAUGACAAUGAUAUGGUUUAACUCUGAACCCUUUUUGGUGAUUUGUGAUAUAGCGUGUGCCGUGUGAUGUGUGAAACUGUGAAUACAUAAAAGUACAUUAAUGUGUACACAGGCUAAUGCCGUCUCUAUCAUUAUUUUAAAUGUGUUACUCCUUGUGUAAAAUUGUGCAAGCUCAUUAAGCUGGAGACAAACCUUAAAACCAACAUAAUUAAAGUCAAACCGAUCGGUUCAAGUUUACACGGAUACCAAAACAGAGAAAUUCAUAAGGGCAGCACGAUUUAACCAACCCAAACCGCAAUUUUAAUCCGGUUGGGGUAUACGUGUUUUAGCCGAGUAAAUUGGUCUAACAGAGAGAAUCUAUCUAGGGUAUUUGCUGUUACCCUAGCUAAUAUAAAUAAAUUCAGGCAGUGAAUUUUUCUUUUAUAAUAUUCCACUGUUAUUGAGCAUAUCCAGACAUUAGUUCUGAAUUAAUAUCACCACUAUCGUUUAUAUUUUGUAGGAAUUAAAGAGACGAUCAUGAUCACAGUGUACAACCUCGUGAUGAUUUACAUGUGUUUCGGUGAAGCCCUCUUCGUUUUCUACAUCAUCGUUUAUUUGCACUAUCACAAAAAAGACAAAGAAGAAGAAGAAGAAGAAGAAGAAGAAGAAGAUUAUGACAUCGAACUUGGAGAUGAAGAUGUUGUUCAUUGUUGCCGCCUCUGCCACGAAGAUGUCAGAGAUUUCUCCAAUAUUCUACGUCUAUCAACGUGCCACAGGAUUCGAUCCAAAUUCACCCAACUCAAAAAAGAUUGACAUACAACAAAAGAAACAGCCUUUUUUUUCUUUUCUUCAUAUGGUUAGGAGUUACAACAUAUAAUGUAUUGUGAUUAUCUAAUUAUUAUUUUGUUUGAGUAACUAAUUAGUUUUUGAGGAA
RNAcentral lists this long non-coding RNA (2487 nucleotides) under Capsella grandiflora. Its description in RNAcentral is "long non-coding RNA (CGRA_LNC001341)". Lineage: Eukaryota; Viridiplantae; Streptophyta; Magnoliopsida; Brassicales; Brassicaceae. The record is from RNAcentral.